UGAAUGAAAAAUACACAGUAGAGAUAUACAUUAAUCUGAAGAAAAAAUAAUUAAUUCUUGAAAAAAAUGUUUUUAUUAAGGCACAAAAUAAAUGGAAAGAAAACAAAUCACAGCAACUCCAUGAACUUUUGAGGUUGACAGGUAAACAAAAAAUGAAAUGUAGCAUUAAUAUUGAAGAAAUCAAAUCUAAUUACAAUUUCAAAUUAUUUAGUUAUUAUUUGCUGCAUUGACACAUUUUUAUUCAUCAUACAACAUUGUACAUGAUAUACAAAACAAACUUGAUAACUCCUGGCUGCUAAAGUAUAAGACCCCUUGUCAAGGAAGAAAAGAAAGGUAGGCCUAAAUAAAGCAGCUUAAAUAAAGCAGACUUGAACAUCACUCACAAACAAGCUGUAGAGGAGUCAAGGCAAGCUGAAAUAAGUUACAUCUGGAAUCAGCUGGAAAAAACAAAGAUCUCUGGAGAGUUAUGGUUAGUGGCCAUUAUAGCAGAGGAAUCACAUACAACAUUAAGAUGGAACAGAGCAAGCAAAUAAGUAAAAUUUGAGACUCAAAAGACAAAGAAUGAACAAUUUAUUUUACAAGUUAGCACACAAAAAUAACUCAUUAAAUUGAAAGAAAGGAAGAUGUGUAUAUAAAUAUAUCAAUUAUUUAAAUAGACAUUGAUCAGAUUUCUUUUCUUUUUAAAUGAAGACCUGGUGAGACAGUAUGGACAAAUUUCCACAUUAUGGGCUUCUGGACAUAAUUUUGAACAAGAGUAAUAGAUGGCCUUGGUUUUGAAAUCAUCAUCACACUUCAUCCUCACUUACAGUCAAUGUUAUGACAUUGAUUUUUCAAGAAGCAAACUAUUUUACCACAAAACAAGUAUUACACUACAGUGAAUUCCAGCAAUGGCAUCCAAAUGUCUCAAUUGUAGGUUAGGCCAUUAUACUAUGUUAAAAAAACACACCAUAUAAGUCAAAUUUGAUAUUUAGAUAUCUCAAAUUGAAAUGUUAGGUACCCUUUUACCAGCAGUAAAAUAGUUUCUUUGGUAGUAUUUACAUUAAAUGACUGCCACUUAAAACAAAGUUAAAGUGUAGAGUAUGUAUAAAGUUACCAAAUAUCCUACAAGCCACUGUAAAGAAGUAAAAAAACUUAACCCCUGCUAAUUACAUUAUUCAACUAUUUAUUAAACAUUGUUGUAUGAUUAACCCCCCCCCCCCCCC
This is a non-coding RNA of Biomphalaria pfeifferi, 1202 nucleotides long. Lineage: Eukaryota; Metazoa; Mollusca; Gastropoda; Planorbidae. The record is from the annotation of a GenBank genome assembly.